Molecule: ribosomal RNA, 826 nt
Filed under: uncultured archaeon
Lineage: Archaea
Description: bacterial SSU rRNA
Rfam family: Archaeal small subunit ribosomal RNA
Source: RNAcentral
CUGACUGCUAUCGGAUUGGUACUAAGCCAUGUGAGUCGUUGUAGCAAUACAAGGCAUACGGCUCAGUAACACGUAGUCAAUCUAACCUAUGGACGGGGAUAACCUCGGGAAACUGAGGAUAAUACCCGAUAGAUCAUAAUGCCUGGAACGGUUUAUGGUCCAAAUGAUUCGUCGCCGUAGGGCGGGACUGCGGCCUAUCAGCUUGUUGGUGAGGUAAUGGCCCACCAAGGCUAUUACAGGUACGGGCUCUGAGAGGAGUAGCCCGGAGAUGGGUACUGAGACACGGACCCAGGCCCUAUGGGGCGCAGCAGGCGAGAAACCUUUGCAAUGUGCGCAAGCACGACAAGGUUAAUCCGAGUGUUUCCUGCUAAAGGAAUCUUUUGUUAGUCGUAAAACCACUAUUGAAUAAGGGGUGGGCAAGUUCUGGUGUCAGCCGCCGCGGUAAAACCAGCACCUCAAGUGGUCAGGAUGAUUAUUGGGCCUAAAGCAUCCGUAGCCUGUUCUGAAAGUUUCCGGUUAAAUCCAUUAACUCAACUAAUGGGCUGCCGAAAAUACUGCAGAACUAGGGAGUGGGAGAGGUAGACGGUACUCGGUAGGAAGGGGUAAAAUCCUUUGAUCUAUUGAUGACCACCUGUGGCGAAGGCGGUCUACCAGAACACGUUCGACGGUGAGGGAUGAAAGCGGGGGGAGCAAACCGGAUUAGAUACCCGGGUAGUCCCAGCUGUAAACGAUGCAAACCCGGUGAUGCCCUGGCUUGUGGCCAGUGCAGUGCCGCAGGGAAGCCGUUAAGUUUGCCGCCUGGGAAGUACGUACGCAAGUAUGAAAC